This 465-nucleotide ribosomal RNA is filed under the name Vreelandella stevensii. RNAcentral describes it as "partial 16S ribosomal RNA". It matches the Rfam family "Bacterial small subunit ribosomal RNA", at positions 338 to 795 of the family's 1533-position model. Lineage: Bacteria; Pseudomonadati; Pseudomonadota; Gammaproteobacteria; Oceanospirillales; Halomonadaceae. The record is from RNAcentral.
CCUAUGGGGUGCAGCAGUGGGGAAUAUUGGACAAUGGGCGAAAGCCUGAUCCAGCCAUGCCGCGUGUGUGAAGAAGGCCUUCGGGUUGUAAAGCACUUUCAGUGGGGAAGAAAGCCUUGGGGCUAAUACCCUCGAGGAAGGACAUCACCCACAGAAGAAGCACCGGCUAACUCCGUGCCAGCAGCCGCGGUAAUACGGAGGGUGCGAGCGUUAAUCGGAAUUACUGGGCGUAAAGCGCGCGUAGGCGGUCUGAUAAGCCGGUUGUGAAAGCCCCGGGCUCAACCUGGGAACGGCAUCCGGAACUGUCAGGCUAGAGUGCAGGAGAGGAAGGUAGAAUUCCCGGUGUAGCGGUGAAAUGCGUAGAGAUCGGGAGGAAUACCAGUGGCGAAGGCGGCCUUCUGGACUGACACUGACGCUGAGGUGCGAAAGCGUGGGUAGCAAACAGGAUUAGAUACCCUAGUAGUC